AUUGAACGCUGGCGGCAUGCCUUACACAUGCAAGUCGAACGGUAACAGGUCUUCGGAUGCUAACGAGUGGCGAACGGGUGAGUAAUACAUCGGAACGUGCCUAGUAGUGGGGGAUAACUACUCGAAAGAGUGGCUAAUACCGCAUGAGAUCUACGGAUGAAAGCAGGGGAUCGCAAGACCUUGUGCUACUAGAGCGGCCGAUGGCAGAUUAGGUAGUUGGUGGGAUAAAAGCUUACCAAGCCGACGAUCUGUAGCUGGUCUGAGAGGACGAUCAGCCACACGGGGACUGAGAAACGGCCCAGACGCCUACGGGAGGCAGCAGUGGGGAAUGUUGGACAAGGGGCGCAAGCCUGAUCCAGCAAUGCCGCGUGCAGGAUGAAGGCCUUCGGGUUGUAAACUGCUUUUGUACGGAACGAAAAGCCCCGGGUUAAUACCCUGGGGUCAUGACGGUACCGUAAGAAUAAGCACCGGCUAACUACGUGCCAGCCGCCGCAGUAA
Molecule: ribosomal RNA, 498 nt
Filed under: uncultured bacterium
Lineage: Bacteria
Description: partial 16S ribosomal RNA
Rfam family: Bacterial small subunit ribosomal RNA
Source: RNAcentral